This 287-nucleotide unclassified non-coding RNA is filed under the name Melitaea cinxia (Glanville fritillary). RNAcentral's name for it is "misc RNA ENSMCXG00005018478.1". The record is from RNAcentral. Lineage: Eukaryota; Metazoa; Arthropoda; Insecta; Lepidoptera; Nymphalidae.
CGAAACUAUACGGAAUACGGGGAAGAGUGUAAGAGAAAAAAGAAGCGCGAUGCAUGUCUACACAUGUUGCCCAGUAUUGCGUUAGCCAGUGCCCGACGUAAAAAAAAAGCAGGAGGCCACAUUGCUUUUCAACAGCCGAAAAUGCCCAGAAAAUGCUUGCGGAAGACCGAAAGAGCACGGUUUGAUAUUUCUGGGAUGCUUAUGAUGAAGUAAAACGUGGGACUUCUAUACGGAGAGCUGCGGAAAUCCAUAAUAUUAAUCGCAUGUCGUUGUUACGAUACAUUCGU